RNAcentral lists this small RNA (2989 nucleotides) under Pan troglodytes (chimpanzee). Its description in RNAcentral is "retained intron". Lineage: Eukaryota; Metazoa; Chordata; Mammalia; Primates; Hominidae. The record is from RNAcentral.
CGUAUGAUCUCAAGGCCUGCAAGACUGUGGGAUGUGGUCAGAGUUGAUUCCUGUGAAGCCGUGCAGCAUGUGGGUUCAGCACUUGGGCUUUGUUAUCAGAAAAACUUAAGGCCAAAUCCUAGCUGCUCUAUUCACCAGCUGUAUCUUCAAGUGUCAGCCUUGCCUUUUCUGAGCCUGUUAGCUCAUCUCUCAAGAAGGAAUGGCACUGUAGUACCUCCCUUGCCUGGUGUGUGUCCUUAAAUGGGUCACAUAACCUCUCCUCUUUUCUCAUCUCUCAGUAGGUGGUGGUCUCUGUCCCUUUCACCUCUCAGAAAUGGGCAGCCAUGGCAGGGGGGUGGGGCAGGGCAGUGAGAAUGCUCAUGUAUGGAUCUUUGGAUGUUCCCUGUGAGUGUAAACUCUUGGUCUGUUUCUCCCUCGUAUGCUAUAAGGAGAAGCUAAGGCAAGCAUGCAUGGCCUUUGGCCUGUGUGAAAUUAGAAAGUAAAAAGAUCUCAGGCCAUGCUUCUCCCCCAGUUGCCAGGAGAGACUUCAGGAUUGUUGAUGGUAGUACAUGAAUCCAGUCUCAGCUCCAUGUUCUUAGUGCUGCUGCAGGAAUGAUUUGACUUUUCUUUGCCCCAGAGCCUACUGCUUCCAUCUCUCACAUUUCACUCCCACCGCUCUGCUUUCCCUAGAGUCCUGUCUAUCUCCCCCCAUACUUACCUCAGGACUGUCAUUUAUCCUCAGACAUCCCUCUGCUCCCACAAGCCCUGGGUACAAGUCAUUGAGCCGUUGGGAUUGGGUUCACUUCAGCUGCCUCUGACAGAUUUCCAGGGAGGGACUGUCCAGGGAUUGGUUUCUUGAGGGCAGAUUUGGAGCAAGAUUAGUAGGCAUGGCUGGUCUUAGUAUUUAGGUGUAUGGGAAUGUGAGGGCUCUUCUCAUGUAAGUCUGUGACCCCUAGAGAGGGCCCUCCAGGGACCCAUCGGGGGAACACCAUGUGAGUACCUGAACUUUGAGUCCAGAGUCCAUGGGCCUCUUCUAUUAAAGGCCCUUGGGGAUGUCACACAGCCUCAUGUGGAGUCAUGCUUUGAUAAGCCUGAGUUGUGCGCACUUGUUUCCCUUCUUGACUUGUAAUUUCAGGGUAAGGAAAGAAGAGGGGCUUUCAUCUGUGAUCAGAGCCUACAGAGGCCAAGAGAGGAAUGGGGAAUAGAAUCAGAACACAGAUCUUUCUGGAAAAGCCAGCACCCUUUCAGCUGUUUACCUGGGAACCACAGUGACUGAAGAUGUAGCUAAAGCCCUAGAGGUUUCCAGUGGGGAACCCUGGCCUCAACCCAGCAGACAGUGGGUUCUUCCAGGGCAAUAGCUUCCUCCUAAGAUGCGUCAUGUCUAGGCCUCAAGGCUGGGGCCUUUUUUUUCUUUUUUUUUUUUUUUAGACACAGUCUCACUCUGUUGCCCAGGCUGGAGUGCAGUGGUGCAAUCUGGCUCACUGUGACCUCUGCCUCCCGGGAUCAAGCGAUUCUCCUGCCUUCAGCCUCCCAAGUAGCUGGGAUUACAGGCAUAUGCCACCAUGUCCAGUGAAUUUUUAUAUUUUCAGUAGAGACAGGGUUUUGCCAUGUUGGCCAAGCUAGUCUCGAACUCCUGACCUGCCUCGGCCUCCCAAAGUGCUGGGAUUACAGGCGUGAGCCACCACGCCCGGCCAAGGCUGAGGACUUUCAACAGCUGCAGCGUGCUGCCAGAUUUCAGGGGCCUCCGUACUGUUAGGUAUAAGACUUCAUGCCUCAGCUUGCUCUUCCUGAGGAGUGGAAGCAGAGAGCUGUUGGGGCAAAUUCCCUCCUGCUUAGCUACCCUCCUUCCCAGUGAUCGCAAAGAUAGUUAUUUUCACAACAGGUCAGGUCAGGCCAGGCACAGUUGCUCACGCCUGUAAUCCCAGUACUGUGGGAGGCCAAGGCAGGCGGAUCAGUUGAGUCCAGGAGUUUGAGACCAGCCUGGGCAACAUGGUAAAACCCCAUCAUGGUGGCAUGUGCCUGUAGUCCCAGCUACUUGAGGGGCUGAGAUGGGAGGAUGGCUUGUGCCUGGGAGGUUGAGGCUACAGUGAGCGCUGAUUGUGUCACUGCAUUCCAGCCUGGGCAAUAGAGUGAGACCUUGUCUCAAGAAAAAAAAGAAAAAAGGUUAGUGUCCCAGUAAAAGCUCCUGCUCUAGGUGGGAACAGUAGCCUGAGGGCUUAGAGGAAUGGUUUAACGGAAAACAGGGCCAGAUAUUUGGGGCCUGAACCACAAGGAUAGCAUGGCCGUAGGACAGACACUGGCCUUGUACAGUCAGAAGAAGCACAAGGACAGGUGGUAUGGAGGGAGGAUGAGGAUACUGGGUCCUGUCCCAGGGUAAUGUCUUUGUUCUUCCUUUUUCCCUCCCCAUAGGCUUGCAGCCCUGAGUGAUCGAGAGACUCGGCUGCAGGAGGUGCGCUCAGCCUUCUUGGCUGCGUACAGCAGCACAGUGGGGCUUCGGGCAGUAGCCCCCAGUCCUUCCGGUGCCAUCGGGGGCCUGCUGGAGCAAUUUGCCCGUGGUGUUGGACUCCGGGGCAUCAGCAGCAAUGCCUUGUGAAGAAGCCAGCCCAUGACAUUUUCCUGCUCCUCUCUCAGCUGAGCCCUUAGCAGAAUCAAAGCCAUGCCUGGCCAAAGGGGUACUUCCAGGUCAGGGGAAAUUUCAGUCCCCCAUCUCCAUCAUGUACAUGGCAGCCCCAAAGCUGAGCAAGGCCAAAGACAGGGUUUUCCAACCCCCAGCCUCUUGACUGGUGACCACCACCCCUUCUUGUCACUGUCUCCCACCCACCCCAUCUUUGCUGGGAUUCCCAUCAACUCUCAGAACUGUGUGGGGUUUCCCUGGGGCCUUGUGGAAGCCAUGACUUCACAAAGACCCUACCUGUCAAUUCUUGUUUCUGGGGAGGAGGGAUCACCUGCACUGAGAAUGAGGCAGUUUGACACAGAUCACAAAAUAAAAUCAAAGUCUUUUUGAAUAGCC